UACGUAGGGCGCAAGCGUUGUCCGGAAUUAUUGGGCGUAAAGAGCUCGUAGGCGGCUUGUCACGUCGGUUGUGAAAGCCCGGGGCUUAACCCCGGGUCUGCAGUCGAUACGGGCAGGCUAGAGUGUGGUAGGGGAGAUCGGAAUUCCUGGUGUAGCGGUGAAAUGCGCAGAUAUCAGGAGGAACACCGGUGGCGAAGGCGGAUCUCUGGGCCAUUACUGACGCUGAGGAGCGAAAGCGUGGGGAGCGAACAGG
Molecule: ribosomal RNA, 253 nt
Filed under: uncultured bacterium
Lineage: Bacteria
Description: partial 16S ribosomal RNA
Rfam family: Bacterial small subunit ribosomal RNA
Source: RNAcentral